UGAAGCUUUGAUGAUCGCCAAUUCGUUUUGAAGCUCUUCCUUGCAUGACUCAAGAUCCCUUUCUAACUCCACAUCCCUUCGUAUUUCAGAUUCUGUGAUCACUUUACUGGCUGCCGACAUUUCUGAAGGUUCACUUGCUUGCAAUUCUGAUAGAACUGGUAAGAAGUUACUUGCCUGCACCUGGAAGUGCUCCAGCUCAGUACUUCUUUGUCUAACUGUGUCCACAGGAGCUGAAUCUCCCAGGUGUUUUCAGUCUGGACAGUGCCAAUAGAACAUUACCAAAGGCCACAGAAUGCAGGAAACACCUAGGGUCCUUGGAAUACCAAGUGCUCCAAAUGUCUGUGGUACACCUGGAAUGCCCAGUGUCCAUGGAAUACUGGGAAUGCCCAGUGUGUCUGUGGAAUACCAAGAACUCCCAGCAUAUGUGGAAUACUGGGAGCACCCAGUGUCCGUGGUAUAUUGGGAAUGCCCAGUGUACUCACGAUACUGAAAACUCGCAAUGUCUGUGCAAUGCCGAGAGCAUCCGACGUCUAUAAAAUGCAAGGAACGCCGA
This is a long non-coding RNA of Rhincodon typus (whale shark), 553 nucleotides long. RefSeq lists it as uncharacterized. The record is from RefSeq and is a predicted model, not a curated record. Lineage: Eukaryota; Metazoa; Chordata; Chondrichthyes; Orectolobiformes; Rhincodontidae. The transcript is spliced from 2 exons.